RNAcentral lists this ribosomal RNA (221 nucleotides) under Atherigona falcata. RNAcentral's name for it is "partial 16S ribosomal RNA". The record is from RNAcentral. Lineage: Eukaryota; Metazoa; Arthropoda; Insecta; Diptera; Muscidae.
AUAAUUCAUAAAUCAAUGUAAAAAUAAAUUAAAAGUUUUUUAAAUUUUAAUAUCACCCCAAUAAAAUAUUAUAUAAUUUAAUAAUAAAAUAUAUCUAAAAAAUUAAUAAAUUAAUAAAUAUUAAGAUUUAUAGGGUCUUCUCGUCUUUUAAUAUUAUUUUAGCUUUUUGACUAAAAAAUAAAAUUCUAUAUAAAUUUAUAUGAAACAGUUAAUAUCUCGUC